UACAGAGGUGGCAAGCGUUGUUCGGAAUUACUGGGCGUAAAGGGCGCGUAGGCGGCCAUUUAAGUUAGACGUGAAAUCCCCAGGCUCAACCUGGGAAUUGCGUUUGAUACUGGGUGGCUUGAGUUCGGGAGAGGGAUGCGGAAUUCCAGGUGUAGCGGUGAAAUGCGUAGAUAUCUGGAGGAACACCGGUGGCGAAGGCGGCAUCCUGGACCGAAACUGACGCUGAGGCGCGAAAGCCAGGGGAGCAAACGGG
Molecule: ribosomal RNA, 253 nt
Filed under: uncultured bacterium
Lineage: Bacteria
Description: partial 16S ribosomal RNA
Rfam family: Bacterial small subunit ribosomal RNA
Source: RNAcentral